UUCCGUUAAUUUUUCCUCUUUGUUCAUUUUAUUGAUUCGGUUGUAAUUAUUUUUUAUUUUUGGUGACUAUCUGUUCUUAUUAUUUAUUUAUAUAGAAGAGCCAAAUGUGGUCGACCAAGGACAAAUUUGACAUUUUGCUCAACUAUAAAAAUAUUUUCCUAUACUUAUUCUUUCAAUACUCACUCGACACUUCUCUCAACACAAUUCUAGAACAUUCAGUUCUUUUAUCUCUUUUGUUUCAACUUCCAACAAUGGAAAAACAUCACAUUUUCAAGAACAACUUUUUGAGUUUUAUCUUAAUUUUGCCCAAAUUUCUUCCGGUUCUCUUCAGACCUCUGAAUUUCACAUCUGAAAUUCAUGGCUUGAUGUCCUUCUUAUUCUGUCCCCAAUUUCACGACUGAUGUAAAGAUUUUUCGGUUGUAAUUCCCAAUUUCACGGCUGAUCUAAAGGCUUUUCAUGUGCCCCUCCCUCGGUUAGCUUCACCCUUUUAGCCGCUUAAAGUGUUGGGAAGAGAUUCGUUCUCGAAAAAGACUGUCCUAUUCAAGGCCUUGAGUUUUCACAAGUCUUGCUUUAGUUAUUUGCUUGCUGAGAUGACCAAGAAGGUAACGUUGAUGAUCCUGACUCAGAGAGAAUGACUAUUUAUGAUAAAUGGAUAAUUUCCAGUAGAAGUAUCAAAAGAGGUGUGAUAUCUCCUUCAACAGUGCAUUACUAAAGGUGCUUUUGUAACACUUUAUUUUGUGUAUCUGAAAUUUGUUUUACACGAUCUUUGCUUGGAUUAAGACUUUGAUUGACUUUUCUAUUGUAGAAAAUACCUCAUAGAGAUUCUAUAGAUGCUAAGAUUAGGUAGGCGUAGUUAGGUUACUCAACUAGAGCUAGCUACAUCAGACUUCACAAAUGCCUAAGUAUCUAAUCAUCUCAGUUUUAUACCACAUUUAUUGUAUUGUGCCAACUUUUAUUGUGAUAAGGAGGAAUAAUUUCUUAAGAAGUGUGCAACUUUUUAGUUUCUAACGAGAUAACAUGUAUGUGUAGUUUUUAAGGAAUUUAUAGUGCUGCUACACUACACUUCGUUUUAUUUUUUAGAGAAAGUUUAGCGCAUUUGGUAGUUUAGAGUUAUAAUAAUCAUGUGAUUGAUUUCUAAUAUUCUGGUUUUUUUUUUUUGAUGAAGUAAUGAGUUAUAUAGAAUUUCUAAUAUUCUGGCUUGGAUUACCUCUUUUUGAUAAUUACACCUUCGAGAAUAAAUUUGCAAGAAAAUAUUUUCUUCUUUUUUGCAUUCCAUAUUUCAAAGACGAGUAUAUAUAAAUACUGUACUUCAAAAUAAUUAGUUAGUAAUAAGGUAGUUCUAUAGUAGGAGGCUAAUGAACUGAAGUAUUGACAAGAAUAUUAUAUAAAUAUGGCAUGUAUAGCUGAGAAACCAUUCCUUUAUGUAUAUUCUGGAAUGUUUGGCUCAAGAGGAACAUAAUGUAUUUUGAGGGGAAGGAAGAGAAUAUUUUGUUGCUGAAGAAUAGAUGCAUCCAUAGUUUAAAAUUUUGGUGUAAUGCUGAUACUUCUAACGAUUUUAAUGUAAUGUUGGAGUUUCUAGAUUCCUUACAGCUUUAGAAGGACCCAAUCUAGCGCGAUACUUUGGAGAAAAUAUUCAUAAGUUCACGUCUUUGGGGUGAAUCGAUGAAUACAAUAACACGAAAGGACAAAAUUACUAAUUGAAAGUCUGAAUUGAGCGCACCUGAAGAAGCUCCUCAAUGACAUCUUCCAUAGUAAUAACACCGACAACUUCUUGAUUGAGAGGGAUCUCAGGGAUUGGAUUAUUUUCCAAAUCCAAGAGAAAGAGAGAGAGAGAGAUUCCAUAGGAUUAUAUAUAAAUACAUCUGGGUGCUAAAACUUUUAUUCUUUUAUGAAAACAUGUUGUUCAUGUGGGAAAUUGUGAAAACACUUUUGAGAGAUGAGUUCCUUUUGGAUCUAACAUUCUAUCUUCUUUUUUCCUGAAAAUGAUUGAUUUGAAUCAUAUCUUCAAGGUAUUAUUCUAUGGCUUUGAUUAUUAAUUAAUAUUGUCAUAUUAGAUAUUCAGCCAUUGCUUGUCACUUAUCAAAGGCGCGCUUAAGCCCUGAAGCGAGGCUCAAAACAUAUUGAGCGCUUCGCCUCGCUUAGAAGGCACUUUAGUGUUACCAUCAAGGCUCUAAGACAUACUUUUCCUUGUCAAUGAGCGUAAUCCUGAAGAGAGACACUAAGCGAUUUUCUUCAAUUUCUUUGUCCAUAUUUGGUAUUCAUGCUUAUAGAUAUUAGUCUUGUACUACACAUACAUAUUUGUUAUUUUAUCCAUUAGCGGCUUUUUUCAUUAAAGCCCACGCUUUAUUUGUGCUUUGCGCAUAAAGCCCCAACAGACCUUAGAGCUUUUUUUGCACUUUUCGCCUUUGAUACUGAGAGUAUUUCAACAAUAAUAGCCUUACUUUUAUAAAUAUAUAUGGCCUGCGAAUAGAGCUGUCUUUUGUGGACCAUCUCCUAUCUCUUUGGAAAAAUCUUCCUCAAAUAAUAUGUUGUCUACAUUUGAAGGAUUCUUAUUAGGGGUUGUAAAUUUCAUACGCCUCCAAUAUGAUUUGGUAGUUUUGUGGCCUUACAAUGGUAGUGGCUUCAAAGCAUUAAGCUUUCUCUUCCUUUUGGGUUUCACAAGAUCAACUGGAGAUAUAGUGUAUGUUAAUCUACCUUUUUUUAUUAAUGUGAUAACAGAUAGCUGCCAAAGUUCCUCUCUUCGCUGUUAAUUCUUUAUGCUUUGAUGUACUUCUUCUGUUUCUUGUGGUAAAGUUCCUUUAUUUGCUACUUUAUCUUUAUAUCACCAGAAUUAGCGUGAGAUCCUUCUUUAUUUGUGUACUCUCUCCUGACAAAAAUGCUUGAAAUGUUACCUUAGAAAAAGUCUAAUGAACCAUCAUUUGCUGAUCUAAAAAGGUUAGAUCAUGGUUACUCAAUCUAGAAAUGCUAAGAUGUUUAUCUAAAAUUGGUGUAAAAUUCUUGUGUCCUUGUUGUCGGCAUAAAAUAUGAUUUUCCUCGAUAUUAGUUCUUGAAUAUUGUUUACUUGAAGAGAUCUCCUUUUAUAUUACAGAUACCUCAUGCAUGUUCUUAAAUUGAAGUAGAUGAAUAACGUCAUGCAAGUAUUCUAAGGCCUGUUAAAUAAACUCAUUAGCCAAUUCAUAUUGUUUGUUGUUGCAUUUUGGAGUAAAUAUAGUCAACUAUAAAAUCAAAAUAUAUCAUUAUUCUCUGUUGUUACUACCACAGUGUGUUCAAUUUUUUUUUGUUCGAAAGUUGCUAUGAACUGUGGACAGAACAAAUGAAUAGACGUUUUACUUCGUAGAAUAUUGAUGCCUUUCCUCAAGAUACUUCGCAUCUCCAAGAUAAAUAUAUGUCUCUUUGAUUCUGGUUCUAUUCGUUGCAAUUACUGACAAAAUUUUCCCAUUUUUAUAUCGUUUGACAGUGGCAGAUAGUGAUGAAUCAUGGGGAUAACGCGACAUGCCAAACUAGCAGUUUGUCAAGGCUUUCAGUAUGAGGGGAAUUUGCUGAGUAUAUUGCCCUUUUUUUUUGCUAUCCAAUUCUUAAUAAUAGGAUCUAAUUAUUUGUAAUAUUAAAGCUUAUAAUGCAAAAAUUAGCGGUUACACUCAACUGUAUUUUAUGCAAUUGCAGUAUUAGCAUACUUUAUAUCUUAA
This is a long non-coding RNA of Nicotiana attenuata, 3686 nucleotides long. RefSeq lists it as uncharacterized. The transcript is spliced from 4 exons. Lineage: Eukaryota; Viridiplantae; Streptophyta; Magnoliopsida; Solanales; Solanaceae. The record is from RefSeq and is a predicted model, not a curated record.